RNAcentral lists this transfer RNA (69 nucleotides) under Curculionoidea sp. 30 KM-2017. RNAcentral's name for it is "tRNA-Ser". Lineage: Eukaryota; Metazoa; Arthropoda; Insecta; Coleoptera. The record is from RNAcentral.
AGUUAAUGAACUUGAUAUAAGUGUAUACUUUGAAAGUAUAAAAAAGAAAAAAAUAAUUUCUAUUAACUU